UGUGGUAAGAGGCUGAUAAACAGGUCUUUUCUGGGACAAGGUCUGAACAGCCUGAGGAUGGUGAGAGGUAGCAAGAUGGUGCCACUAUUCCAGGUCCUUGGGCUCAUGUUCCUCUGUCUUCCAGGUCUCCAGGCACAGCCAUCCAGCUCAGAGACUUUUAAUUGCAUCUUGAUGGGGAGCAAGCUCAACACAGUUGGUCAAGAAGAUGAUGUCCAUGCCCUAAGUCCUAUGUCCUCUGCUGCUCUGUGUUCUAGGGGGAACAGAUGGCACCUGUGCCAAGAAUUUUCCUGGUUAGUGAAGAUUUUGCCGAGUGUCUCAGGAAAGGUGACGGAAGUGCUUUCGCUAGGAGGCAAGACGCCUGGUUCUUCCAAGUCAAACGGCCCAUAAAUCUACAAAGACCCUCUAAGGACACAUUCAGCCUGUUUUCUAUUCUGUCAGACAUGGUCCCACACUCAGCUGCAGCCCAGAUAUCUUGGUUAAGGCAGCACCAGCAGAAGCAGUUUUCAGGGCUUCAGAAACUACCCAAAGUGAUCACCAGAGGGCGCAGAACAAGAGAAGAGAAGACCAAGAAGACGGCCAAGUACCAUGUGACUGUUGAACCAUCCUUGUUCAUUUCAUUCACUCAUUCAUUCAGUAAAGGUACAUUGAACAUCAGUUGUAUGCCAGACACUUGUUAGUCACUGAGAGCGCAGUGGUGAGUGAGAUGCCCUGUGAAAUGCAAGAAAUAAUGAAGAAUGUGAACCAUAUUCUUUUUCAUGGAAUUAGAAGAUACGAUAUCCUGGGUAAAGACUAGCAUCAACGAUGUGCUAUGUGUGGUUAUUUGUGCGAUCCUGCAGUUCCCCUAGGUUGAUGCGUCCUCAUGUAUAUGUCUUACAUUUGGGUGGACUCUUCCUGGUUUCUGUGAUUAACUUUGGCAGCUACCCUUCAUCUUCUCUGAACUCCCAGCCAGGCAAUUACAAGACUGACUAAAUAUUUACCCUUUCUCUUCACCUCACUUUAAAAGACUUUGUUAGAGUUCAAGGAAUAGAGGUGAGCACUUCUAAUCUGAAGGGGUCCUAGGUUCCUUCCAGGGACCACUAGUAGUCCACUUGCAGUAUCACAGUCAUGCCAAUGCAAAGAAUAAAUACAAAAGUAUUCCGUAUCUGUGCAUCUUCUUGGCAUAGGAACUUCUAGUUACAAAAAAUUAUAAAGAAACUGCUUGAAAAUCUUCUUGUAUUAGGUUCUUUUGGAGGAAGUAAGUCUUUGACAAACUCCUAAAUUUCUUCUAAAAUUAGUUUCUAUCUCUUUGGGAGCCAAUUAUUCCAUUUAUUUGGGGAGAUAAGGAAUUGUACACUUCAUUUAAAUGUUCAAAAAGCAACAGCCUCCUUCACUGUGGAAAACAAUAUGGAGAUCCCUCAGAAAACUAAAAAUAGAACUAUCACUUGAUCCAGCAAUCCCACUCCUGGGCAUCUCUCCAGAGAAAACAAUGACUUGCAAAGACACAUGUACUCCAAUGUUCAUUGCAGCACUCUUUUCAAUAGACAAGACAUGGAAACAACCUAAUGUCCAUCGACAGAGAAGUGGAUCAAGAAGAUGGGGUACAUAUACACAAUGGAAUAUUACUCAGCCAUUAAAAGGAAAGAAAUAACGGCAGUUGCAGCAACAUGGAUGGACCUAGAAAUUGUCAUGCUAAGUGAAGUCAGUCAGACAAUGAGACACCAACAUUAAAUGCCAUCACUGACAAGUGGAAUCUGAAUAAAGGACAAAAUGAACUUCUUUGCAGAACAGAUACUGACUCACAGACUUUGAAAAUCUUAUGGUUUCCAAAGGAGACAGUUUGAGGGAGUU
Molecule: long non-coding RNA, 1827 nt
Organism: Sus scrofa (pig)
Lineage: Eukaryota; Metazoa; Chordata; Mammalia; Artiodactyla; Suidae
Source: RefSeq, a predicted model, not a curated record